RNAcentral lists this ribosomal RNA (468 nucleotides) under uncultured bacterium. RNAcentral describes it as "partial 16S ribosomal RNA". It matches the Rfam family "Bacterial small subunit ribosomal RNA", at positions 28 to 507 of the family's 1533-position model. The record is from RNAcentral.
GACGAACGCUGGCGGCGUGCUUAACACAUGCAAGUCGAACGGAAAGGCCCUGCUUUUGUGGGGUUCUCGAUUGCCGAACGGGUGAGUAACACGUGAGUAACCUGCCCUUGUCUUUGGGAUAACUUCAGGAAACUGGGGCUAAUACCGCAUAUGAGCUCCUGCUGCAUGUUGGGCGUUGGAAAGUUUCGGCGGUUGGGGAUGGACUCGCGGCUUAUCAGCUUGUUGGUGGGGUAGUGGCUUACCAAGGCUUUGACGGGUAGCCGGCCUGAGAGGGUGACCGGCGACAAUGGGACUGAGAUACGGCCCAGACUCCUACGGGAGGCAGCAGUGGGGAAUAUUGCACAAUGGGGGGAAGCCUGAUGCAGCAACGCCGCGUGCGGGAUGACGGCCUUCGGGGUGUAAACCGCUUUCGCCUGUGACGAAGAGGGAGUGACGGUAAUGGGUAAAGAAGCAACGGCUAACUACGUG